GCAUGGUUUAAUGGUUUGAGUGUUAGACUAUGACUCUGGAGACCUGGGUUCCAUUCCCAGCUCAGCC
RNAcentral lists this transfer RNA (67 nucleotides) under Phrynosoma platyrhinos (Desert horned lizard). RNAcentral describes it as "tRNA-OTHER". The record is from RNAcentral. Lineage: Eukaryota; Metazoa; Chordata; Lepidosauria; Squamata; Phrynosomatidae.